UGAGGAACAUGACUUUCGGCGGGGGAUAGCCGGCCCAACGGCCGGGUAAUACCGCGUACGACCACUCGGGGACAUCCCCGGAUGGUGAAAGCAGCAAUGCGCCGAUGGAGUGCCUCGCGGCCUAUCAGCUAGUUGGUGAGGUAACGGCUCACCAAGGCGACGACGGGUAGCUGGUCUGAGAGGAUGGCCAGCCACAUUGGGACUGAGACACGGCCCAGACCUCCGUACGGGAGCA
This 235-nucleotide ribosomal RNA is filed under the name uncultured bacterium. RNAcentral describes it as "partial 16S ribosomal RNA". It matches the Rfam family "Bacterial small subunit ribosomal RNA", at positions 118 to 347 of the family's 1533-position model. The record is from RNAcentral.